UACAGAGGGUGCAAGCGUUGUUCGGAAUUACUGGGCGUAAAGCGCGUGUAGGUGGCGAUGUAAGUCGGGUGUGAAAUCCCUUGGCUCAACCAAGGAAGUGCACUCGAUACUGUGUCGCUUGAGUAUCGGAGGGGACGGCGGAAUUCCCGGUGUAGAGGUGAAAUUCGUAGAUAUCGGGAGGAACACCUGUGGCGAAGGCGGCCGUCUGGACGAUUACUGACACUGAGACGCGAAAGCGUGGGUAGCAAACAGG
RNAcentral lists this ribosomal RNA (253 nucleotides) under uncultured bacterium. RNAcentral describes it as "partial 16S ribosomal RNA". It matches the Rfam family "Bacterial small subunit ribosomal RNA", at positions 524 to 776 of the family's 1533-position model. The record is from RNAcentral.